This 464-nucleotide ribosomal RNA is filed under the name uncultured bacterium. Its description in RNAcentral is "partial 16S ribosomal RNA". It matches the Rfam family "Bacterial small subunit ribosomal RNA", at positions 28 to 507 of the family's 1533-position model. The record is from RNAcentral.
GACGAACGCUGGCGGCGUGCUUAACACAUGCAAGUCGAACGGAAAGGCCCUGCUUGCAGGGUACUCGAGUGGCGAACGGGUGAGUAACACGUGGGUGAUCUGCCCUGCACUUCGGGAUAAGCCUGGGAAACUGGGUCUAAUACCGGAUAGGAGCCAUUUUUAGUGUGAUGGUUGGAAAGUUUUUUCGGUGUAGGAUGAGCUCGCGGCCUAUCAGCUUGUUGGUGGGGUAAUGGCCUACCAAGGCGGCGACGGGUAGCCGGCCUGAGAGGGUGGACGGCCACAUUGGGACUGAGAUCCGGCCCAGACUCCUACGGGAGGCAGCAGUGGGGAAUAUUGCACAAUGGCGCAAGCCUGAUGCAGCGACGCCGCGUGGGGGAUGACGGCCUUCGGGUUGUAAACUCCUUUCGCUAGGGACGAAGCUUUUUGUGACGGUACCUAGAUAAGAAGCACCGGCUAACUACGUG